CAGUAGCCGCGGUAAUACGUAGGGGGCAAGCGUUGUCCGGAAUUAUUGGGCGUAAAGCGCGCGCAGGCGGUUUUUUAAGUCUGGUGUCUAAGUGCGGGGCUCAACCCCGUGACGCACUGGAAACUGGGAGACUUGAGUGCAGAAGAGGAGAGCGGAAUUCCACGUGUAGCGGUGAAAUGCGUAGAGAUGUGGAGGAACACCAGUGGCGAAGGCGACUCUCUGGUCUGUAACUGACGCUGAGGAGCGAAAGCGUGGGGAGCGAACAGGAUUAGAUACCCCGGUAGUCCCUGUCUCUUAUACA
RNAcentral lists this ribosomal RNA (301 nucleotides) under uncultured bacterium. RNAcentral describes it as "partial 16S ribosomal RNA". It matches the Rfam family "Bacterial small subunit ribosomal RNA", at positions 509 to 808 of the family's 1533-position model. The record is from RNAcentral.